AAUAGUAGGUUAGCCACCCAUUGAUCCCAUAAAAGGUCCAUGGACAUUCCAUCCCCCAUAAGCUAUCUCAUCUAAGUAAUCACAUCGGGGGCUCCCUGAUAAAUCUCCUUUAAGAGGAAAAAGCUACUCCGACUGGCUUGGAUCUCCUCAAUAAUAGGCCAAGGACCGUAUCGGGCUCUCAUCAUCAAGCUCUACAGACUCUCCAAUGAAAAUAGCAAUCUAGCUACAGUCGAGCAAUCAGGGCCUCCUAUCUGGUCACCAAGGACUGGAUGCCCAGUCCACCAUCUCUCAAUAGCUGGCAGAGAAUAUCCCAGGAU
Molecule: long non-coding RNA, 317 nt
Filed under: Elaeis guineensis (African oil palm)
Lineage: Eukaryota; Viridiplantae; Streptophyta; Magnoliopsida; Arecales; Arecaceae
Description: long non-coding RNA (EGUI_LNC027827)
Source: RNAcentral